AACGUAUCACUUAAAGCGAUUCAGCGGGUUACGAUUGACGGAGCGAAGCGACGUCAAAGCGUAUACAAAGUCGAGUCGGUUUAAGGAUACGUUCGUUGGGUAGGGGAGCGUUCUGUAAGCCUGUGAAGGUGUGUCGUGAGGCAUGCUGGAGGUAUCAGAAGUGCGAAUGCUGACAUAAGUAACGAUAAAGCGGGUGAAAAGCCCGCUCGCCGGAAGACCAAGGGUUCCUGUCCAACGUUAAUCGGGGCAGGGUGAGUCGACCCCUAAGGCGAGGCCGAAAGGCGUAGUCGAUGGGAAACGGGUUAAUAUUCCCGUACUUGGUGUUACUGCGAAGGGGGGACGGAGAAGGCUAUGUUGGCCGGGCGACGGUUGUCCCGGUUUAAGCGUGUAGGCUGGUUUUCCAGGCAAAUCCGGAAAAUCAAGGCUGAGGCGUGAUGACGAGGUACUACGGUGCUGAAGCAACAAAUGCCCUGCUUCCAGGAAAAGCCUCUAAGCAUCAGGUAACAUCAAAUCGUACCCCAAACCGACACAGGUGGUCAGGUAGAGAAUACCAAGGCGCUUGAGAGAACUCGGGUGAAGGAACUAGGCAAAAUGGUGCCGUAACUUCGGGAGAAGGCACGCUGACACGUAGGUGAAGUGAUUUACUCAUGGAGCUGAAGUCAGUCGAAGAUACCAGCUGGCUGCAACUGUUUAUUAAAAACACAGCACUGUGCAAACACGAAAGUGGACGUAUACGGUGUGACGCCUGCCCGGUGCCGGAAGGUUAAUUGAUGGGGUCAGCGCAAGCGAAGCUCCUGAUCGAAGCCCCGGUAAACGGCGGCCGUAACUAUAACGGUCCUAAGGUAGCGAAAUUCCUUGUCGGGUAAGUUCCGACCUGCACGAAUGGCGUAAUGAUGGCCAGGCUGUCUCCACCCGAGACUCAGUGAAAUUGAACUCGCUGUGAAGAUGCAGUGUACCCGCGGCAAGACGGAAAGACCCCGUGAACCUUUACUAUAGCUUGACACUGAACAUUGAGCCUUGAUGUGUAGGAUAGGUGGGAGGCUUUGAAGUGUGGACGCCAGUCUGCAUGGAGCCGACCUUGAAAUACCACCCUUUAAUGUUUGAUGUUCUAACGUGGACCCGUAAUCCGGGUUGCGGACAGUGUCUGGUGGGUAGUUUGACUGGGGCGGUCUCCUCCUAAAGAGUAACGGAGGAGCACGAAGGUUGGCUAAUCCUGGUCGGACAUCAGGAGGUUAGUGCAAUGGCAUAAGCCAGCUUGACUGCGAGCGUGACGGCGCGAGCAGGUGCGAAAGCAGGUCAUAGUGAUCCGGUGGUUCUGAAUGGAAGGGCCAUCGCUCAACGGAUAAAAGGUACUCCGGGGAUAACAGGCUGAUACCGCCCAAGAGUUCAUAUCGACGGCGGUGUUUGGCACCUCGAUGUCGGCUCAUCACAUCCUGGGGCUGAAGUAGGUCCCAAGGGUAUGGCUGUUCGCCAUUUAAAGUGGUACGCGAGCUGGGUUUAGAACGUCGUGAGACAGUUCGGUCCCUAUCUGCCGUGGGCGCUGGAGAACUGAGGGGGGCUGCUCCUAGUACGAGAGGACCGGAGUGGACGCAUCACUGGUGUUCGGGUUGUCAUGCCAAUGGCACUGCCCGGUAGCUAAAUGCGGAAGAGAUAAGUGCUGAAAGCAUCUAAGCACGAAACUUGCCCCGA
Molecule: ribosomal RNA, 1689 nt
Filed under: Salmonella enterica subsp. enterica serovar Corvallis
Lineage: Bacteria; Pseudomonadati; Pseudomonadota; Gammaproteobacteria; Enterobacterales; Enterobacteriaceae
Description: partial 23S ribosomal RNA
Rfam family: Bacterial large subunit ribosomal RNA
Source: RNAcentral